RNAcentral lists this small RNA (28 nucleotides) under Bombyx mori (domestic silkworm). RNAcentral describes it as "piRNA piR-bmo-1812450". The record is from RNAcentral. Lineage: Eukaryota; Metazoa; Arthropoda; Insecta; Lepidoptera; Bombycidae.
UAAUGCUAAAUUCGGAGGUGCAAAUCAU